GCGGCCAGCAACGUCGGAUACGGACUCAUAAUCCGUUGGUCGCGGGUUCGAGCCCCGCCCGCCCCA
Molecule: transfer RNA, 66 nt
Filed under: Mycobacterium sp. 1245801.1
Lineage: Bacteria; Bacillati; Actinomycetota; Actinomycetes; Mycobacteriales; Mycobacteriaceae
Description: tRNA-Met
Source: RNAcentral